AUCCUGGCUCAGGAUGAACGCUGACAGAAUGCUUAACACAUGCAAGUCGAUGGGGAAGCGGCGCUUGCGCCGUGGCAACCAUGGCGGACGGGUGAGUAACGCGUAAAGAACUUGCCGGAUGGACCGGGAUAACAGCUGGAAACGGCUGGCAAGACCGGAUACUGUGGGCUGGCCGCAUGGCUGGCCCAUGAAAAGGGAUGCCGUCCGAGAGCUUUGCGUCCUAUUA
This 226-nucleotide ribosomal RNA is filed under the name uncultured Symbiodinium. RNAcentral describes it as "partial Bacterial small subunit ribosomal RNA". It matches the Rfam family "Bacterial small subunit ribosomal RNA", at positions 16 to 243 of the family's 1533-position model. The record is from RNAcentral. Lineage: Eukaryota; Dinophyceae; Suessiales; Symbiodiniaceae.